GGUUCCGGACGGGCUUGGUCGGAAAAUGUAGGGCUUCCCGAGACGGGGGCCGUCCGACCGUCCGCCAUCCGUCGUGCCCGACGCAUUUGUCUCUCGUCCGAAGGACGCUGCAGCCGGUCGGGCAGCGCAAGCGUGACGGCCUUCAGGGUCGGGAAACGGCAGGUGGCCGGUGGCGGGACCUCGUGUCCGUCGCCGGUUGUUAGCCAUCCCGACAGUGGCACGUCGCUCGACCGAGGUGUCGCGAGUCCCCACGGGGACUCCACGUCUCCUCCCCCCCUCGGGGGGGUUCGCGAUCGAGACGUCGCAGGCUUCGUAACCCGCGUUGUCGCACCGCCUCGCGGUGGGCUCGUGGUCGUUCGAUACCGUUGGCGACGUCCGCAUCGCAGGAGGCCGGAGGCUCGCAGCGAGUAGGUCGGUCACCCACCCGACCCGUCUUGAAACACGGACCAAGGAGUCCAACAUGUGCGCGAGUCAGUGGGUCUUGACUAGGCCCACGGGCGUAAUGAAAGCGAAGGAGCGCUUCUCGCGUUCCGAGUUGGGAUCCCCUCCCUCGCGGGGGGGGCGCACCAACGACCCGUCCCGUCCGGUUCGCCGGUGGGAUGGAGUGUGAGCGUACACGUUGGGACCCGAAAGAUGGUGAACUAUGCCCGGACAGGACGAGGCCAGAGGAAACUCUGGUGGAGGUCC
This 687-nucleotide ribosomal RNA is filed under the name Pulchellodromus simoni. RNAcentral describes it as "partial large subunit ribosomal RNA". The stretch from base 446 to 687 matches the Rfam family "Eukaryotic large subunit ribosomal RNA", at positions 665 to 876 of the family's 3401-position model. The record is from RNAcentral. Lineage: Eukaryota; Metazoa; Arthropoda; Arachnida; Araneae; Philodromidae.